AAAAAUAAUUGCAGAUUGCAAAAAAAUUUUUGUUUCAUUGUGAAAUAAAAUUUAAUUUUCGUAUGUUUUUUAAUCUUAUUAUGAUAAAUGUAUGAUUAAAAAAGGAAAAAAAAAAUCGAUUAAUUGAAAAUUAGUAAAGAAAAAAAAAACAGCAAAAAAAAAAAGAAGGAAAAAAUUGGUUCAAUUGAAUUUUUUAAUUCAAUUAUUUUUUUGUGGUUUUUGGAUCUGCAGAGCCAUUUUUUUAGAAAAAGGGGCUGACUGAUUCCAUUGGGAAUAAAGUUUCCGAGAACUAUAUGCGCAUAUAAUAUAUAACGAAAUAAUAUCGUAUAAUUGAUUAAUAUCGAAAGAGCAUUAAAUUGCAUAAUUAAUAAAAAAAAAAUAGUGAAAAAACGAAAAAUAUUUUCGAAAAACAUUAUUGUAAUUACAACAUUGUAAACAAAAAAAAAAAUUCAUUCAAUAACCAAGAGAAAAUAUAGUAUAUAAAUUGUGAAUCACUCUGUACUAUUCUUGUAUGUGAUUAUAUGAACAGAAAAAGAGAAAUACACAAAAUAAAACUCAAUCUCUUUCUUGAUUUUGUUCUCUUAAAUAAUUUCAUAAAAGUUUAUUAAAAUUGGCAAUAUUGAGAGUAAAAUUAAAAAAGCAAAAAAAAAAAAAAUUUAAAAAAGUGUCAUAUAAAAAGUGAAGGUUUUUGGUUAAAAAAUAAAAUAUAAAAAAUAAAUUAAAGCUUUUUUUUUAUCUGAAGAAUAAAAAAUAAGCAAAACGGUAAAGCUUCCACCAGAAAAAAACUGAACUGUGAGUUAAGUUAAAUUCUCUCUUAAAAAAUAUUAAUAAUAAAAUACAGAGAAAAAUUAAAUAAAAACGAAAACUAUUAAAAAUAAAAAAAAAAAAUAAAAGAGAAAAUUCUGUAUGUUAAUGUAUAGUGUUUUCCCUUUCUAAUUCAUGUUAUCGUGAUUUGUGGUGAACGACGACUGCGUGCAUUAUAUAAAAAAAAUUAAAACUAUUAAGAGCAUAAACAAGAGCUUUUUUACAAAA
Molecule: long non-coding RNA, 1032 nt
Organism: Condylostylus longicornis
Lineage: Eukaryota; Metazoa; Arthropoda; Insecta; Diptera; Dolichopodidae
Exons: 4
Source: RefSeq, a predicted model, not a curated record